Nothobranchius furzeri (turquoise killifish) is the source of this 1201-nucleotide non-coding RNA. The record is from RefSeq and is a predicted model, not a curated record. Lineage: Eukaryota; Metazoa; Chordata; Actinopteri; Cyprinodontiformes; Nothobranchiidae.
UCCACCCUCAUCCGCUGGGGGCUGGUACCAGAAGCGAGCAAAUCCUCAUUGACUCCCAUGUUAAAAAUGCCAUUUUCACAGCAGAAAUAAACAUGUUUACAGCCUGGUUCAAAAAAUGGUUUUUUGUCUAAAUUAUCUAGUUUAUACUCAUGACAACUCUGAGGGGGGUGAAUUUUUUUCUCACUCUUCUGUUUAAGUGUAUUGAAAGCCUAAAAUUCUGUAUAAUUAAUGAGCAUCCGACACACGUGACCGCCGCCUCAGACCCACGUGACCACAGAGCUAGCUCCGUGGAAAGGCCUCAGUACAGCCUCGGUCUCUCCUGGAAACUGUGUCGGGAUUUUGAGUCUCUGUGCUUGUGAAUUCUGUUUUGGAUAAUAUUGGUGCAAUUGUUGGACAAAAUGACUUGCUGUGGUAUUAAUUGCACUAAUAGAGCGUCCAAGGAGUCUCCACUUCAUUUUUUUCGGGAAGGACCUGAUUGGUGUCCAGAACCUGCUGAAGAAGCACCAGGCUCUGCAGGCUGAGAUCACAGGUCAUGAACCUCGCAUCAAGGCUGUCACCCAGAAAGGAGAGACCAUAAUGGAGGAAGGUCACUUCGCUGGUUCAGAACCCUCGGCCCGUCAGAACAUUCUUAUCCACCACGUUCUAACACCAGACCUGUUAACCCAACAGCAACAAGUGGCUCCAACUGACGAUGAGACCAGGAAGGAGCUGGUUCUGGCUCUGUACGACUACCAGGAGAAGAGUCCUGGAGAGGUCACCAUGAAGAAGGGCGACAUCCUCACGCUGCUCAACAGCACCCACAAGGUUGUUUUACUUGAACUCGCGUCUUUAGCUGAAUGAGGAUGGAGAGACGGGUCGGACCUGGAGCAGGUCGAGGUCUUGCAGAAGAAGUUUGACGACUUCCAGAAGGACCUGAAGGCCAACGAGUCCCGCCUGAGGGACAUCAACAAGGUGGCAUGUGAACUGGAGUCAGAAGGUCUGAUGGCUGAGGAGGCUCCUAUGGUUCAGGCUCAGCAACAAGAACAUCUGGGUUCUGCUCCUGGAAAGACCGUACGGUUGGGCGUUCAGACGACGGCUAACUUUAAUUCCAUCAAGGUAAGAGGAAGCUCUUCCCUUCCUGUCUGAGCGAUCCGUCUCCAGGUUUCCUCGUCCGGCGUCCAGCCCGCUGGCGUCCACCUUCAUCUCACUGGGUUUGGUUUCU